CGAGCGCACCCACGUCCUUAGUUGCCAUCAUUCAGUUGGGCACUCUAGGGAGACUGCCGGUGAUAAGCCGCGAGGAAGGUGUGGAUGACGUCAAGUCCUCAUGGCCCUUACGGGAUGGGCUACACACGUGCUACAAUGGCGGUGACAGUGGGACGCGAAGGAGCGAUCUGGAGCAAAUCCCCAAAAGCCGUCUCAGUUCGGAUUGCACUCUGCAACUCGAGUGCAUGAAGGCGGAAUCGCUAGUAAUCGUGGAUCAGCAUGCCACGGUGAAUACGUUCCCGGGCCUU
This 287-nucleotide ribosomal RNA is filed under the name uncultured Methylobacterium sp. Its description in RNAcentral is "partial 16S ribosomal RNA". It matches the Rfam family "Bacterial small subunit ribosomal RNA", at positions 1093 to 1382 of the family's 1533-position model. Lineage: Bacteria; Pseudomonadati; Pseudomonadota; Alphaproteobacteria; Hyphomicrobiales; Methylobacteriaceae. The record is from RNAcentral.